GACGAACGCUGGCGGCGUGCUUAACACAUGCAAGUCGAACGGAAAGGCCCUGUUUUUGUGGCGUGCUCGACUGGCGAACGGGUAAGUAACACGUGAGUAACCUGCCCUUGACUUUGGGAUAACUUCAGGUAACUGGGGCUCAUACUGGAUCGGUGCCCCUGCUGCAUGGUGGGGGUUGGAAAGUUUCGGCGGUUGGGGACGGACUCGCGGCUUAUCAGCUUGUUGGUGGGGUAGUUGCUUACCAAGGCUUUGACGGGUGGCCGGCCUGAGAGGGAGACCGGCCGCAUUGGGAGUGAGUGAGAGACCAGACUCCUACGGGAGGCAGCAGUGGGGAGGAAUGAACGAUGGGCGGACGCCUGAUGGAGGCACGCCGGGUGCGUGAUGACUGCCUGCGGGUGGGAAGCCGAUUUCGCCUGUGCCGGAGCGUUAGUGACGGUAAUGGGUAAAGAAGCACCGGCUAACUACGUG
This 468-nucleotide ribosomal RNA is filed under the name uncultured bacterium. RNAcentral's name for it is "partial 16S ribosomal RNA". It matches the Rfam family "Bacterial small subunit ribosomal RNA", at positions 28 to 507 of the family's 1533-position model. The record is from RNAcentral.